UACAGAGGUCUCAAGCGUUGUUCGGAUUCAUUGGGCGUAAAGGGUGCGUAGGCGGCGUGGUAAGUCGGGUGUGAAAUCUCGGAGCUUAACUCCGAAACUGCAUUCGAUACUGCCGUGCUUGAGGACUGGAGAGGAGGCUGGAAUUUACGGUGUAGCGGUGAAAUGCGUAGAUAUCGUAAGGAAGACCAGUGGCGAAGGCGGGUCUCUGGACAGUUCCUGACGCUGAGGCACGAAGGCCAGGGGAGCAAACGGG
This 253-nucleotide ribosomal RNA is filed under the name uncultured bacterium. RNAcentral's name for it is "partial 16S ribosomal RNA". It matches the Rfam family "Bacterial small subunit ribosomal RNA", at positions 524 to 776 of the family's 1533-position model. The record is from RNAcentral.